GGUGUAGCUUAAUGGUAGAGCUUAUGCUUGGUAUGCUUGAGGUCCUAGGUUCCAUCCCUUGUGCC
Non-coding RNA from Heterocephalus glaber (naked mole-rat), 65 nucleotides. The record is from Rfam. Lineage: Eukaryota; Metazoa; Chordata; Mammalia; Rodentia; Bathyergidae.